Molecule: long non-coding RNA, 736 nt
Filed under: Lactuca sativa (garden lettuce)
Lineage: Eukaryota; Viridiplantae; Streptophyta; Magnoliopsida; Asterales; Asteraceae
Description: long non-coding RNA (LSAT_LNC006641)
Source: RNAcentral
ACAAAAUUCCUAAUCUUAGUUACUUUAGGCAAAAGUGAAUUGUUGCAAUUCCAUGAAAUUACACUUUGCACCCUUGCUAAGACGUUAGUGGAGCGUGUGUCGUUAACCGACACACUAAAUGGGUUCUAAGCAAAGGUAGCGAUGGUGACUCGAUGUUUGUCAUAGUCCGGUGGAGAGUGUGUGGUUAACCGGCACAUCAAAUAUGUGACUGUAACAUUGGGGGCACCACGUAUAUUUGCAUGGUUAUUCACACCCUGUUUUGUGAUCCUCGGCAUCCCAGUCACAAAACGAGGGGCAUAUCGAGAUUUAAACAUGCCAUUGAAAAGUUCAAUGAAUCUCAAAGGAUCUAGGAGUUUUCAAUACAUUUAAAACAUAAUCUCUUUUUGUUUUUCAUGGUGUAAAAUUAGUGAAUCGUCAUUCACCUACCUUCAAAUGUUCUACAAUUUGGGUUACGGCAUCCCUCUCCCAAGUUGUAGAGUAUUGUGUUGGGUCCUAGCCUUAAUAUCUCAUUUGGGUGACAACUAUGGUCUUCCCAAAUCCCAUGGAACAAGCCUUUCACAUGAAGAUGAUAUUCCAUGAUUCGAUCGAGGAACACGAGAUCAUGCUUCACUUCUUCCACCUCCUCNUCCACGAUUCGAUCAAGGAACAAGAUAUCAUGCUUCACUUCCUCCACCUCCUCCUAUUGUUCUCCCUAACCCACAAGUUCAAAGGCUUGAAAAGUUCAAGCUCACUCAAG